UGCAGUCGAGCGGAUGACGGGAGCUUGCUCCUUGAUUCAGCGGCGGACGGGUGAGUAAUGCCUAGGAAUCUGCCUGGUAGUGGGGGACAACGUUUCGAAAGGAACGCUAAUACCGCAUACGUCCUACGGGAGAAAGCAGGGGACCUUCGGGCCUUGCGCUAUCAGAUGAGCCUAGGUCGGAUUAGCUAGUUGGUGGGGUAAUGGCUCACCCAGGCGACCAUCCCUAACUGGGUGAGAGGGUGAUCAAGCACACUGGAACUGAGACACCGUCCAGACUCCUACGGCAGGGAGCAGGGGGGAAUAUUGGACAAUGGGCCAAAGCCUGAUCCAGCCAUGCCGCUGUGUGAAGAAGGC
This 354-nucleotide ribosomal RNA is filed under the name Pseudomonas monteilii. Its description in RNAcentral is "bacterial SSU rRNA". It matches the Rfam family "Bacterial small subunit ribosomal RNA", at positions 56 to 415 of the family's 1533-position model. The record is from RNAcentral. Lineage: Bacteria; Pseudomonadati; Pseudomonadota; Gammaproteobacteria; Pseudomonadales; Pseudomonadaceae.